This 73-nucleotide transfer RNA is filed under the name Lachnospiraceae bacterium. RNAcentral's name for it is "tRNA-Ala". It matches the Rfam family "tRNA". From Rfam's summary of the family: Transfer RNA (tRNA) molecules are approximately 80 nucleotides in length. Their secondary structure includes four short double-helical elements and three loops (D, anti-codon, and T loops). The record is from RNAcentral. Lineage: Bacteria; Bacillati; Bacillota; Clostridia; Lachnospirales; Lachnospiraceae.
GGGGGCAUAGCUCAGUUGGGAGAGCGCCUGAAUGGCAUUCAGGAGGUCAUGGGUUCGAGUCCCACUGUCUCCA